UGGGGAAUCUUGGACAAUGGGCGAAAGCCUGAUCCAGCAAUGCCGCGUGUGCGAUGAAGGCUUUCGGGUUGUAAAGCACUUUUAUCAGGGAAGAAAUGGUUUGGGAUAAUACCUCAAAUAGCUGACGGUACCUGAAGAAUAAGCACCGGCUAACUACGUGCCAGCAGCCGCGGUAAUACGUAGGGUGCAAGCGUUAAUCGGAAUUACUGGGCGUAAAGCGUGCGCAGGCGGUUUGCUAAGACAGGUGUGAAAUCCCCGGGCUCAACCCGGGAACUGCAUCUGUGACUAGCAGACUAGAGUUUGGCAGAGGGGGGUGGAAUUCCUGGUGUAGCAGUGAAAUGCGUAGAUAU
This 350-nucleotide ribosomal RNA is filed under the name uncultured bacterium. RNAcentral's name for it is "bacterial SSU rRNA". It matches the Rfam family "Bacterial small subunit ribosomal RNA", at positions 355 to 697 of the family's 1533-position model. The record is from RNAcentral.